RNAcentral lists this ribosomal RNA (351 nucleotides) under uncultured bacterium. RNAcentral's name for it is "partial 16S ribosomal RNA". It matches the Rfam family "Bacterial small subunit ribosomal RNA", at positions 528 to 881 of the family's 1533-position model. The record is from RNAcentral.
UAAGGGGCANGCGUUAUCCGGAUUUAUUGGNUUUAAAGGGAGCGUACGCNGGAGAUUAAGCGUGUUGUGAAAUGUAGACGCUCAACGUCUGNACUGNAGCGCGAACUGGUUUCCUUGACUACGCACAAAGUGGGCGGAAUUCGUGGUGUAGCGNUGAAAUGCUUAGAUAUCACGAAGAACUCCCAUUGCNAAGGCAGCUCACUGNAGCGCAACUGACGCUGAANCUCGAAAGUGCGGGUAUCGAACAGGAUUAGAUACCCUGNUAGUCCGCACGGUAAACGAUGGAUGCCCGCUGUUGGUCUGAAUANGUCANCGNCCAAGCGAAAGCAUUAUACAUCCCACCUGNNGAGU